Molecule: transfer RNA, 80 nt
Filed under: Bilophila wadsworthia 3_1_6
Lineage: Bacteria; Pseudomonadati; Thermodesulfobacteriota; Desulfovibrionia; Desulfovibrionales; Desulfovibrionaceae
Rfam family: tRNA
About the family: Transfer RNA (tRNA) molecules are approximately 80 nucleotides in length.
Source: Rfam by way of RNAcentral
GCGAGAGUGGCGGAAUUGGUAGACGCACUGGACUUAGAAUCCAGCGGAUUUCCGUGGGGGUUCAACUCCCCCCUCUCGCA